RNAcentral lists this ribosomal RNA (290 nucleotides) under uncultured bacterium. RNAcentral's name for it is "partial 16S ribosomal RNA". It matches the Rfam family "Bacterial small subunit ribosomal RNA", at positions 29 to 334 of the family's 1533-position model. The record is from RNAcentral.
AACGAACGCUGGCGGCAGGCUUAACACAUGCAAGUCGAACGCGAACGGUCCUUCGGGACUUAGUAGAGUGGCGCACGGGUGAGUAACACGUGGGAAUAUACCCUUCAGUUUGGGACAACCAUUGGAAACGAUGGCUAAUACCAGAUACGCCCUUUUUGGGGAAAGAUUUAUCGCUGAAGGAUUAGCCCGCGCUAGAUUAGCUAGUUGGUGAGGUAAGAGCUCACCAAGGCAACGAUCUAUAGCUGGUUUGAGAGGAUGAUCAGCCACACUGGGACUGAGACACGGCCCAG